RNAcentral lists this ribosomal RNA (497 nucleotides) under uncultured bacterium. RNAcentral's name for it is "partial 16S ribosomal RNA". It matches the Rfam family "Bacterial small subunit ribosomal RNA", at positions 28 to 507 of the family's 1533-position model. The record is from RNAcentral.
GAUGAACGCUGGCGGCGUGCCUAAUACAUGCAAGUCGAGCGAACAGAUGAGGAGCUUGCUCCUCUGACGUUAGCGGCGGACGGGUGAGUAACACGUGGAUAACCUACCUAUAAGACUGGGAUAACUUCGGGAAACCGGAGCUAAUACCGGAUAAUAUAUUGAACCGCAUGGUUCAAUAGUGAAAGACGGUUUUGCUGUCACUUAUAGAUGGAUCCGCGCCGCAUUAGCUAGUUGGUAAGGUAACGGCUUACCAAGGCAACGAUGCGUAGCCGACCUGAGAGGGUGAUCGGCCACACUGGAACUGAGACACGGUCCAGACUCCUACGGGAGGCAGCAGUAAGGAAUCUUCCGCAAUGGGCGAAAGCCUGACGGAGCAACGCCGCGUGAGUGAUGAAGGUCUUCGGAUCGUAAAACUCUGUUAUUAGGGAAGAACAAAUGUGUAAGUAACUAUGCACGUCUUGACGGUACCUAAUCAGAAAGCCACGGCUAACUACGUG